RNAcentral lists this ribosomal RNA (749 nucleotides) under Hippolytidae sp. BOLD:ACR4896. RNAcentral's name for it is "eukaryotic LSU rRNA". It matches the Rfam family "Eukaryotic large subunit ribosomal RNA", at positions 42 to 647 of the family's 3401-position model. RNAcentral also lists the same sequence under 1 other name. The record is from RNAcentral. Lineage: Eukaryota; Metazoa; Arthropoda; Malacostraca; Decapoda; Hippolytidae.
AUUAAUAAGCGGAGGAAAAGAAACCAACAGGGAUUCCCCGAGUAAGGGCGACUGAAACGGGAAGAGCCCAGCGCAUAACCUGGCGGUCCGAGGAGGCCGUCCAGGGGUGUUGCGUUCCGGUGCGUCCUUGCCGCCCGAGUUGCUGACCGCCUAAGUCAUUGCUUGAAAGCAGCCCCAUGGAGGGUGAUAGGCCCGUGUGGCGGCGCCCUUACAAAGGGUGUAGGCGGCUUGGGCGGGCGGGCGUCCACCGUAGAGUCGGGUUGCCUAGUAACGCAGCCCUAAGUAGGUGGUAAACUCCAUCUAAGGCUAAAUACUCCCACGAGUCCGAUAGUGCACAAGUACCGUGAGGGAAAGCUGAAAAGAACUCUGAAGAGAGAGUUCAAGAGGACGUGAAACCGUUAGAAGCUUAAACGGGUGGAACCGCGAAGGUUGAGCCAGGGGAUUCAGCUCGCCGGGGCGAGCGGUGCGUAUGGCAGGUCAGAGAUUGCUAUGUAUGACCGGACCCGUCGCGGAGUCGCGAGCGGGCCCUGCCGGCGCCCGCACGUUUUUUGGCGGGCUUACUUCUCCCUGGCGACAGUCGCCGCGACCCGUUUCGGGGGGCCCAAGGGCCGUGCCGCACUGGUAGUCUGGGCCCUCACGGGCCCGGGCGAGGAGCGGCUGCGGUUCCGGCGGCCGCCUGGGACGGUCGAGAUUCGGGGGGCGCGUCAAGCGUCCCCUCGCGGCGUGCAUGGGAUCGGUCAUCCACCCGA